Non-coding RNA from Phalacrocorax carbo (great cormorant), 3086 nucleotides. The record is from RefSeq and is a predicted model, not a curated record. Lineage: Eukaryota; Metazoa; Chordata; Aves; Suliformes; Phalacrocoracidae.
CCACUGACAUCAUACACUAAAUAUAGAGCAGCUCCUGCUUUAGGUGAAUAAAUAAUGCAGAUGCAAAAGCCCAGGUCUUCAGUUACACAUUCAUUACCAUCUGUCUGUCAGGUUCUCAUCAUCAGGAGAACAACGUCCGACUCCAGCAAGGAGUGACAGGUGAAGAAUGCAAAACAACUGUAGACAAUAGAUCAAAGGCACUGAGCAGGAGGAUGCAUCCCAACCCAUCCUUACUGGGGGAGAAUGGAGACAGGAGAGCAGGAAACAAGAAGACAAUGCGCCAUCAAAGCUGCCAAGGUGUUGGAUCAAUGACAACAUCUGCAUGAGGGUCUGGACUACAAUAGAAGCUGUUACCAUGGGAACAGGCAAAAAAGCAUCAGGCGGGAAGGAGCAGGCGAUGAUGAAAGAGGGAGAAGAUGAACGUUACCCAACACAGUGUAGCUCAGACUGCCAAGGGUCCCAUAGGGCACAUCUACGAAGCAGGACUAGAAAAGGUGCUGUUGAUGCCCUAAAUAUCCCAUUUUAUAAAAGGCAUGACCUCUCUGCAAAAAUCAAGGACCAUUUUAGGACAACAUACAACUUGGGACAAGGAGUCAUUCUGGACAUGUGUGGAAUUCACCAGACACAUUUUGGGCACUGCCCCAACCUGAAUCACAGCAGUCGUGGACAUGUAUGGCUCGAGGGACCUCCAGAGAUCGUCCAGCCCCUCUUCCCCUCCCCUUCCUUCUCUUCCUGUCUAAUAUCCCUGACUGAUAUUUGUUUAACCUUUUUAAAAUAUCUUUGGUGACAGGGACAGCACUCUGCCAGGGCUCACCUCUCCUGCUGGUUACAGCAUGUUUUUCCUUUAGCUCCAUCCCAGUUCACUGCCACUGAGAAACAGCUCACUUUCUUCUCUGCCUACCUAAAGACUAGGUGGUCUAAUGGCCAUCCUUACAUAUUUGACACAUUGCCAUGUCUGCCCUCAUCCUCCGCUCUUCCAGCCUGGACAAACCAAUUCUUUCAACCUUUCCAUGUAAGCUGUGUCUUCCAGGAUACCACCAUGCCCUGCUCUCCUCCAUGCUUGCCUGCAUCAUCCCAGGAGCAGCAGGAUGCUGUCCUCUGCCUGUCUCAGCCCUGAGGGGAAGGAAUGGUGAUUUCCCCAGUCUCACAUCUGGCAUGACCACUGGCACCUCCUGGUCAGCCUGUUCCCUGUCCUGGACCACUGGCAGCUGCCUUGCUGCUUGCCUGGACCUCCCCUUCUCUACUGCUGCCAGCCUGGCCCUUCCCCAUGGCAUUGUUACCCACCUGAGCCCCCCUUCUAAGUGUGUGCUGUGCACUCCCCUGUAUUGAAUUUCAUUUUAUUGAUCCCAGAAGAUUUCUCGCAUUUGUCAAGACCACUUUGAUUUCUAGCCCUCCAAAGUCCUUGCAAAGUGUGCUUCCCCACCUGGAGGUACCCACAGAAUUUAAAGUGUGUUUUCUAUCCCAUUACCCUCCUCAUUAAUGAUACAAAUAACAGCAGCACAAUCCAGCACCGUCUGCUUGCUGGCUGCUCUCCCCUCCCUCUGACCUCUCCCAGUACUGGGGCAGUGAGCCCCCUCACCUGUGAAAUGCAGGAGGGACACGGGCUUGCCACGGUGACAGCAGCCCCCUAAAGACAGGGGUUAAAGUGCAUCAUCCCACACUCAGCAGCUUGCUGCUGCCAGCAUCGGGCAUUAGAGCCUCGCAUCUGAUGUAGGCACACCUCCACCCGAAGUUAAAAAGCUGCUCCUGUGCAUGUGUGCAUGUGUGUGGGGGGGUGUUGAACCUCAAGCUUGUAACCAGAAGACAAGCCGGGUUUGGGUUUGGCUUGGCAGGACCGCUGAAGCUCAAGCUACCAGAAACGUUUACUGAGCGAGUUUGUGCAGUUUCAGCUCAGGCUUGCCAGGGACCCAGCUGAACAAUUAAAGGAAAUAUCAGUUCAGUUGCAGGUUGUAGCACACACAUAGCCCUGCCUUCAAUGAAUAAAAUUAAUCAUUCUCACUGAUUCUCUAAUCAACCCAGUCCUCAGAGGUGUAAAUUACGCUGGCAGAUCUAUAAUCAGGGAAGUUUUCCAAACCUAAAAACACCCCCAAGAACCCACUGAGUCUCUCAGCCUUGGCUGAGCUGAGCAAGGGCUGUCUAAACCGAAUGCAACACAAAACUGGGCAGCAGCAACCAUGCCUUGUAAAAGACAAUGGAAAAAAGACCACCCUGGAAAGGAGGGCUUCGAUUCAAGGUGGCGACAGCCCCUCUGGGCUGGCCUUUCCCCAACAACCCUGCCCAGAUGCUCUGGAUGUGCCUCCAAUCACUGGUUUGCAUGGAAAUCCCCUCAGGAUCCUACACCUCAGCAAGUGCAGGAGCACCUCAGGAAAGAUGCCAAUCCCUUGGGCCAGCAGACCUGUAGGAAGAAAAUAAACCUCAGCACCUGACUAGGAAUGAAACACAGAGCGUGGGGGUACGGCCGUCAACUGGUGCCAUCCUCUGCUAAAUGCAUCCCCGCUGGCAGCCUCGGUCCGGCUGUGGGAUGCAGGAGCACAUCAGCUUGACAGCUUUGGCGUGGCUUUGUCUUCUCACUGUUUCUGUGGUGGGAAACACCAGUGGUCCCUGGAGAAGUGAAGGUGGCUGCUGCGUGAUAGCGGCCAGCAGACGGCCUGUGUGAAACGGUUAUUCAUCCACCGACCUGGGUCUGCGAAUGACAUGGGGUCACUUCCUUUAUUCUCCCUGGAGGUGUGGAUUGAAAUAAUGGUACUCGUGCAUAAUGAGUAACGAAAAAGAGGAGAUGUCAGAAUUGAAGAGUAAUUUUUAAAAUGCAGCAUUGGAGCCUUUAGAGAAAACAAUGAAGCAAACCAGCAAAACCUGAGUUACAAGGGUAUUGCCUGUGCGACCUGGGGGCACAAAAAGAGUUCAGAUGGGGCCCAGCCUGCUGCUUUAUGUACCCACUAUUUUAUUAUAUAAAGUAAAAAUAAAAUGGAUUCCAGCAAAUAAUGGUAAAUAUUUGAUGAUGUAAUUAUGCCUUAUUAAUGCAAUGUUCUUUCUUUUGCAAAUUAAAUUUUCACAGGAAUUCAUCACCCAUUUCAUUUUUAUUAUUU